GCCUCAGCCUCCCAAAGUGCUGGGAUUACAGGUGUGAGUCACUGUGCCCGCCUGAUGGAAAGGAUCUUUGCUGAUGUAAUUCAUUACGUGAAUUCAUUCCUUAACUUCAGUUAAGGGUCAUGAAAUGAGUUCAUCCUGGAUUAGCCAGGUGGGGUACAUCCAAUGACGUGUGUCCUUACAAGAGAUAGAAGAGGAAAAGACACAGACGCAUGAAGAGGAGGAGGCUACAUGACCACAAAGGCAGAUAUUGGAGUGAUGCAGCUAAGGAAGCCAAGGAACAGAAGUUGGAAGAGGCAAGGAAGGGAUCUGCCCACAACCUCCAGAGGGAGACAACCUAGGUUUUUGUUGUCGUUGUUGUUGUUGUUGUUGUUGUUGUACCACUGUGUUAUUGAAAACCUAGAUUUUGGACUUCUGGCUGAUAGAGAAUAAAUGUCUCUAUGGUAAGAGAAUAAAUGUAUGUUGUUUUAAAAACAAAA
Molecule: long non-coding RNA, 476 nt
Organism: Chlorocebus sabaeus (green monkey)
Lineage: Eukaryota; Metazoa; Chordata; Mammalia; Primates; Cercopithecidae
Source: RefSeq, a predicted model, not a curated record